RNAcentral lists this non-coding RNA (90 nucleotides) under Halobacteriovorax marinus. The record is from RNAcentral. Lineage: Bacteria; Pseudomonadati; Bdellovibrionota; Bacteriovoracia; Bacteriovoracales; Halobacteriovoraceae.
CUUUUUUGUAAUAGGAGUGCAAAUCAAUCCACGACCAUGGGUGGCCAUAAAAUUAAUAGCUUCUGGAGUGACUCUAUCAGCGGCCAUAAU